AAACUUUUCUAAAUACUAUUUCUAUCUUUCUUUGAAACACAAAUAUAGUGUUUCCCCUACUCAAACUCAAGUCUUUUCAUUUCUCUCUCUUCCUCUUAUUCUUUCUUCUCUCUUCCUCUACCUCUUCUUUCUUCCACUGCUUUCUUUCCUCACUAUGUUCUCUUCAUUUUCUGCAUUUUACAACAACAAUGAUGAAUCUCAAUUGUUUCUUUAAAUCUUCAAACUUUAGUUUCCUUUAUUUAUUAUUGCUGAAUCAUUUUGAACACCUAAAUCUUUUGUUCAUAUAAGAUUUUAGAUUUUAUUCUUACUUUAAAUUUUAGAUUAGUGAUAUUUCAGAUCUGGAAAAUCAGUGAUGUUUUUUAGAUCUGUAAAGAAACCGAUGAUAUUUUUCAGAUCUGUGAAAUAAUAUAAGAUCUGGAAAAUCUGAAGGAUGGAUGUUUUUCUGUAUUUCUUUUUCAGGUUGUUCAAGUGGUUUAACAAGUUAUUCGAGUGGUUUGUCAACAGCAACAUCAAAGGAAUGAAUAAAAAGAAGAUUUUGCAUUUUGAGAUGCUUGGAGUUAAGAGAAUUGAACAGGUACUUCCGGUUGGAACUUCCUUGACAGUUGUUGGUGAGGAAAACGCAAGGACAUAAACGCUUAUGGAAAUAAUCCAAUAACAAUAGUGAGUUAGUUGACCCAAAGAAUGAUAGUUUAAGUAUAAGAUAAAAUUUGCAAUAUAUAAGUGUAGGUGUAAUACUAUUAUACAUUAUUAAUUAUAGUUCAUUCAUAAAAAUAAAAGUGAUUAAAAAUGUAGUAUCAAUGUUCAACUUUAAAAAUAAGAUAA
This is a long non-coding RNA of Vicia villosa (hairy vetch), 822 nucleotides long. RefSeq lists it as uncharacterized. The transcript is spliced from 3 exons. The record is from RefSeq and is a predicted model, not a curated record. NCBI's taxonomy places the organism in Eukaryota, Viridiplantae, Streptophyta, Magnoliopsida, Fabales, Fabaceae.